Molecule: transfer RNA, 71 nt
Filed under: Trichiurus lepturus (Atlantic cutlassfish)
Lineage: Eukaryota; Metazoa; Chordata; Actinopteri; Scombriformes; Trichiuridae
Also listed under: 1 other name
Description: tRNA-Ser
Rfam family: tRNA
About the family: Transfer RNA (tRNA) molecules are approximately 80 nucleotides in length. Their secondary structure includes four short double-helical elements and three loops (D, anti-codon, and T loops).
Source: RNAcentral
AAGAAAGUGGCAGAGUGGUGAUGCAGUUGGCUUGAAACCAGCUAACGGGGGUUCGACUCCUCUCUUUCUCG